Molecule: ribosomal RNA, 479 nt
Filed under: uncultured bacterium
Lineage: Bacteria
Description: partial 16S ribosomal RNA
Rfam family: Bacterial small subunit ribosomal RNA
Source: RNAcentral
GAUGAACGCUAGCGGGAGGCCUAACACAUGCAAGCCGAGCGGUAUUGUUUCUUCGGAAAUGAGAGAGCGGCGUACGGGUGCGUAACACGUGUGCAACCUGCCUUUAUCUGGGGGAUAGCCUUUCGAAAGGAAGAUUAAUACUCCAUAAUAUAUUGAACGGCAUCGUUUAAUAUUGAAAGCUCCGGCGGAUAGAGAUGGGCACGCGCAAGAUUAGCUAGUUGGUGAGGUAACGGCUCACCAAGGCGAUGAUCUUUAGGGGGCCUGAGAGGGUGAUCCCCCACACUGGUACUGCGACCCGGACCCGACUCCUACGGGAGGCGGCAGUGAGGAAUAUUGGUCACUGAGUGCUAGCCUGAACCAGCCAUCCCGCGUGAAGGACGACUGCCCUCUGGGUUGUAAACUUCUUUUGUAUAGGGAUAAACCUACCCUCGAGAGGGUAGCUGACGGUACUAUACGAAUAAGCACCGGCUAACUCCGUG